ACUCCUACGGGAGGCAGCAGUGGGGAAUAUUGCACAAUGGGCGCAAGCCUGAUGCAGCCAUGCCGCGUGUAUGAAGAAGGCCUUGGGUUGUAAAGUACUUUCAGCAGUGAGGAAGGUGGGGUAUGUUAAUAGCAUAUUCUAUUUGUACGUUAGCUGCAGAAGAAGCACCGGCUAACUCCGUGCCAGCAGCCGCGGUAAUACGGAGGGUGCGAGCGUUAAUCGGAAUUACUGGGCGUAAAGCGCAUGCAGGUGGUUUGUUAAGUUCAGAUGUGAAAGCCCGGGGCUCAACCUCGGAAUUGCAUUUGAAACUGGCAAACUAGAGUACUGUAGAGGGGGUAGGAAUUUCAGGUGUAGCGGUGAAAUGCGUAGAGAUCUGAAGGAAU
Molecule: ribosomal RNA, 383 nt
Filed under: uncultured bacterium
Lineage: Bacteria
Description: bacterial SSU rRNA
Rfam family: Bacterial small subunit ribosomal RNA
Source: RNAcentral